CACUUCCUCCAUUUGCGAUGUCAUUGCAAAGAUUGCGUAUUUAAAUGUUUGACGUGAAAAUAAUAAAAAAUUUUCGUUCUUCAAAAGAACGUACUCCUUAGUCGAAGAAAAGUCUUUUUUAUCAAAAUUCAUUUCGUUAAAACAGAAACAGCAUGAUUUAGAAAUAUUUAAGGAAAUUCGAACACUUCUGAGCGUAGAAAAGUAUUCUUCUAAAAAUAUUAAAUUGGUUUAAAGCAGACUCAUCCGUGAUAAUAUUUCAAGCAAAGUAUGUGAAAAUAUUUCAAGCAAAGUAUGUGAAAAUAUUUCAAGCAAAGUAUGUGAAAAUAUUUCAAGCAAAGUAUGUGAAAAUAUUUCAAGCAAAGUAUGUGAAAAUAUUUCAAGCAAAGUAUGUGAAAAUAUUUCAAGCAAAGUAUGUGAAAAUAUUUCAAGCAAAGUAUGUGAAAAUAUUUCUAAAGAUCAUUUAACAACAAUUCAAAAAGAUGAUGACCAAGAAAUCCUAAAUAAGGACAAAAAUAAGUUUUUAAUAAAAAAUCAAUCAAAGGUAGUUUGGGGGUAAUUCCAGUGAAUGGCUAAAAGAAUUAUACAUUGCCAAAGAUAUUCAGACUGUUGAGGUUUGAGCAUUACACUGCGUAAAGGUUUUGAUAAAGAACACCUACACCAAAAACAAUAUAAUUGGAGCUGCAUUUGGUUAUAUUAUGCAGAAGUACGGCAAUGAAGAAAUAGUGGUAAUAAAAAAACAUCUCUCAUGCUUGCUGCUUGCUGUGCUUGCAAAAGAAAAACAAUUUGGUUGAAGUUUUGCUAAAAAAUAAAGCAGACCUAAUGCUUUGUGAUGCCAAUUUUAAAAUCGCAAUCAAUUAUUGUAAAGUAAAUACAUAGCAAGUUUCUAUUUGUUACAUUUCACUUUUUUUUUUUAAAUCAUUUACAAUUUUGUAAUUUCAUGAUUUCACUUAAUACUAAUCUACCUACUACAAUACUACUACUACACCACUACUACAACACCACUACUACAACACCACUACUA
Molecule: non-coding RNA, 1021 nt
Organism: Hydra vulgaris (swiftwater hydra)
Lineage: Eukaryota; Metazoa; Cnidaria; Hydrozoa; Anthoathecata; Hydridae
Source: RefSeq, a predicted model, not a curated record